Molecule: long non-coding RNA, 28493 nt
Filed under: Eucalyptus grandis
Lineage: Eukaryota; Viridiplantae; Streptophyta; Magnoliopsida; Myrtales; Myrtaceae
Description: long non-coding RNA (EGRA_LNC003765)
Source: RNAcentral
AGCAGGGUUAGCACUUCCAGGUAGGGGUGUCAACAGUUCGGUUCGGUUCGAUUUUUUUGAAAAACCGAACCGAACCGAACCGUUAAAAAAAAACUUCCGAACCGAACCGAAUAAGACCCGAACCAAAUACGAACCGAACCGAUUCGGUUCGGUUCGAUUCGGUUUUUCGGUUUCGGUUUUCGGUUUUUAGAUUUUGGUUUUUGGUUUUUGGUUUUUGGUUUUUUUGGCGUCGAACUUAUCAGAAUUGAAGACGGUGAGCCCUUCCUCCAGCUUCGCGCCGUUCUCCUUCACCGGCGUCCCCCACGAUCGUGCCGCCUUCGCCGUGGCCAUCCUCGAUGGAAUCGCAGCGCGAGCGUUGGGCUCCCGUUGAUUGAUGUCUGGUUCCUCUCUUUCGUUUCACUUCUUUGGGCUGACCAGUCUCAAGAAACUUCGCAGCAAGCGCGCACAGACACGUCGCAUCUUCCACAUUCAAUUCCAUUGCCCCCAAAAACCUCCCCUGCCUCAAAUCGAAUGGUCCGAAUUCCGAUCAACUGAAGUAACAACAACAACAGGGGUCCGUGACUCGAAGAGCAAGAACCCAGGCAGAUCUAAAGCAAAGUAAUGAUUUGAGCAGCUGAUGGCGAGAGAGAGAGAGAAAGAGAGAGAGAGAGUUGGUGGGGGAAGAAGAGAGAGGGUCGAAGAAGGAAGCCUGCCUCUUCGAGCAGUGAAAGCUAAGAAUCGGAGCUGGCCUGAAGCCCCGCGGGAGAGAGAGAGCCAGAGGAGACGGGAUUUGGGAGAGAGUUUUAAUUUUAUCGGUUUGUAGUUUGGUUCGGUUCGGUUAACCGAUAAAAACCGAACCAAUAAAAAAAAAUAUCGGUUUUUUAUGAAAACCGAACCGAAAACCGAACCGAACCGAAAAAACCGAAUUUUUCGGUUCGGUUUUCGGUUCGGUUCCUGACACCCCUACUUCCAGGUUGUAGUGAAUCAUCCUCCCCAUUGGCAGCAAAAAUCCCACUACCAGUAAUCUCUUUCAUCUUGUAGCCAGAACAAGGUUUCCUGGAAGAUUACAAAAGCACUAUUCUAUGGAGGAGAAGAUGAGGAAAAAGCCACAAUAAGCAGUACCAAAGCGCAAAGGCACUAUGAAAGCUUAUGAAACUCUCUUGAUAAGGAGGAUAUAAAAAGGUCGCGUGUAUCAGUGUGUGCCCACGAGCAAAUACGUAAGCUCGUGUGUGUUUGCGUGGGUGCAUGUGCAUUUGUGUCAAAUAUCCAUCCCCAUUCAGUUUGUCUACAAAAUUAGAUAGAUAGAUAGAUAGCCAAGUAACUAGCUUUUUAGAUGGACAUGUUUUUUUUUUUUGGUAAAUUAAGUAAUAUAUAAAUGGGGAAGACCAAAAAGUAUAAAACGAACCGGCUUCAAAAACUUGCACCCAAGAUGAAUAGGCUCAUUUUGAGUGGAAGGAAGCCGAGAAAGAGCCCAAGCGGCAUUUAGACGGACAUGUUUGUGGGUGCAUGCAUUUGAAAUUGUAUAUAUAAUGACUUUUCUGCAUGUACAUGUUAUACAUGGAUUUAAGCUUUUCCUAAUUUAACAACAUAUAGUUGUUUCUAUCGCAGCACUUCGGAAGGGUGUCGACAAUGCAUCAUGUGAGACUUACCAAUCCUGAGCAAAAUGCCCUCUCCAUUCCAUGCAUUGACUAAGAACAACCUAGUUUUAGACGGACUAGAGCUUUUACAUGUCAAUAAAAUAUUUCACAAAGCGCAAAUUGAAAAGACAUCAAAAAGAAGUUAACAUUAGUUAAGCACCUAUUAUAAUUGUAUCUAGAUCCGAGUUGGGUAGAUUGUCAAUGAGAUUAUCAGAUCGGCAUUUUCAUGACUGCAGAAGCUCGGUAGACAUUGAAGGAACUCCACAUGAUAGUCGCCAAAGAAUUGUUUACUUCUCGAAUCUUGACAUCUAACGAACUUACUCUUUCCAUCUAGUCUCUACUAAUUAUGGAACGGGAUUGACUGAACUAGCUAAAUUAGACACGAGGGCUUGCAACAGAAUCAAGUUCAAGAAACCAACCAGACUUCUAAGGCCAAGGACAAUGAUCAAGCUCAACCUGACGAGGCAUCUGAGGUUCUAAGAUCCACCCAAUUGACCAAGAUUUCUCCAUUAACAGCCACCCCAAAAAAUUACCUUUUUUUUUUGUAAUUUAAAAGGGAGGUGAUAAAGAUUAUUAUGUCCGAAAUAAAGUUUCUUCCUCAUUUCCCGCAGAUCGAUCACUACACAUCACACUGAACCUAUAUCAUACGAUCCAACCAUAAUUUUUUAAGAUAGAAAAUCCAAAGCAGUGGAGAACAUUAAGAAUGCUGACAAAUACCUAAAACGGCGAGGGAGAGGGAAAAAAGAGCAUUUUUUAAACUAAUUAUUUUAAACGUUAUAAAUGAUAUUUUUUGGAAAAUAAUUUACAAAUCAUUUAUUUUUCAUAUAACAGACGAAGCUUAAAUUUUUAAGCUUUGUUGACUUACAUCCCAAUCUUUGCACUAAAGAAGAUUGAUGAGUCUUUGCAAAUAGAGGGCCACAAGUUGUGAUGGGAGACGUGGGGAUCACAAUUCACAAGAAGUAUCCUUCUUUGUUAGUGACCGUUGAUUUACUAGUCAAAGUCAUUUAAUGAGAACAAAGGGGACGGUAGUCGAAAAGAAUGAAACUUGCUAAGCCUGUUGAUAAAUCCAAGUCACAAAAGCAAAAGGCGAAAGAAGUUUUAAUUCGGAAACCAAGAAGAACUCAAGGCCCGCCGCAUCGAUUGACAAGGCUUCCUUAGUUCCUUGGGCUUUGCUGCGAAGUGUUCCAUCGACUGCACCACGUACCAGUCGUCGAGGUUUGCCUUGCUUCUCUUUGGAAUUAGCAGCUGAUUUUUUGCGGGAAGUGGGGAUGGAGCGCUCGGCAACCGAGAGAUUGCCAUAAACUGCAAAAGCACCUCCAAUGCUCCUAGUAGAAGAUUCAAUCCAGAGGGUUUAGAUACCAUUUCGAGCCUACAGGAGGUGUGAUAAGAGAUGAUAAAGGCAAUGCGAUCACACAAAAAUGAAAUCACCGCAUUUAUGGUUGAGAUUCCGGCCCCUAUAUAGACACCAAACACAAACAGGUAGCUCUCAAGCCACUAAAUAAAAUCAAAACUUUAACCUGCGGUCCCUGAUUAUAUUUGUUCCUCAUCAAGUAAAAGGCCAUAGCAGCAGUUUCUGCAGCAUUGCUUACGAAUUGCUCGCACUGCUAUAAGCCUAUAACAUAGAUCACAGUCACCAGCAGUAUCGAUUAAAGAUCAAAUUAAGGACCUCUCAGAAGCACGUAAACCAAUGCCACGAUAAAAAAAAAUAAUAAUAAUAAUAAUAAUAAUAAUAAUAAUAAUAAAGUAUUUGCUUCACAUAGCUAGGAGAUGCCUUUGUAACCAGGCAUGGUGAAUACCUACAAAUUUGUAACAUAGACACCAAUGCCACGAUAAAAAAAAAUAAAGUAUUUGCUUCACAUAGCUAGCAGAUGCCUUUUUAACCAGGCAUAUUUGCUUCACACAGCUAGCAGAUGCCUUCGUAACCGGGCAUCGUGAAAACCUACAAAUUUAUAUGACAGCAAUGAAAACAUAGACACCUCAAACCACACCGAGGUAGGCACAUUGCUUCUACCAGACAGCUUCACAAGUACUUAUAAAUUAUGGGUCUGCAUGGCCAACCAUGGCCAGAAGCAUUUUCUCAUACUCUCCAUGAGUGUCCUUGACAAUGGCACGAUGGAGGGGGACGUUGUUCUUUCUUUGGUACUCCUCAGUUAUUAACUUCAUGUCGACCUCAGCCCUGGUAACAACCACUCUAAUCAGAGCCGCUUCAUCUGUUCCUUGCCUUUUGAUAGCCAAACAGAGGACCUUCUCAAAAUACUUCUCAGGGCGAGUCAGGCACUUGACUGUAGCUCUCAGCAUAAAAAGGAACUUGUCUUUUGGAUCAGUUUUCAAAUCCUGCGAACACGAAGGAUCAAGAAUUAGAUGAUUCUUAGUCUAGAACAGAGACAAGUUCAAUGUAUUCUGAUGCAUGCUACCUAAGGUUAAAGUCUAAAACUAGAACAGAGCACAAUACAGGGUGAUGAGUAUCUUGAAAAUAGGUGAUAUUAUUAGGUCUCAAUAUUUUAGAAACAAAAUAUCAUUAACUUGCCUCUUACUUUCAGUGACAACAAUAUCCAAGGGUACUCUUCAUCCUCAAGGAACUAUAAACUUUAGUCAUACAGGUAAAAGCAACAUGCAAGGGCUAGUUCAUAAAAAUUCAAACUGACCUUGUUGAUAUCAUUUCCAAACUCACUGGAGUGAUGUGCUUUGCUCCUAGAGGCCAAAAUCCAUAUGAGAUGCUUGUCACUGUAAGCCUUCUCUAAGAUCUUCUCACGGAGCAUCUUAGCCUCUUCUUUCGCCAGAGUCAAGUCCACCUCAUCUCCACCAUAACGGUAUGAGCUCAUAAGUGACAGCAGCAGCUAAGAAGCAAAGAAACUGUAUCAAAAUGCAAUUUUUUCCUAAUAGGCAAGGAAAUUUGUCUUACAUUCAACACAACUAAUGAAAAAUAAAAUAUUUCCGGAUAGAUAAGAAUUACUUCAUGGGUUAUCCUGAUAAUGGACCUGGUUUUUCAUUUGAGAUAGGAGAAAGAAGUCCAAAGAAGUGGCAUAUAGUCUCCAUAGUUUCGUGAAGCCAAAACCAAACAGGAACUACUCUCAAUCAUACCACCAUCCUGACAAGCAUUCUCUACAAAACUUCAAAACUUUCUUAAAAUUCAACACCCUACAACUUAUAUUCAGACUCCCUGUAAUAUGCUGAAUCCCAUACACCUUUCGAUGUUGAUUGCCUUCAUCAAUCACAAAGGAUAUAUCACGGGACAACCAUAAAUAUAUUAAUCUGAACAUCACACAGUUGCAGAGAGUACUUAUUGCAAAGGUACGGAAAAAAGUUACUCAGAGAAAAAUCAUCAAGAUUGGGAAACUUCAUGGCACAAUUCCAGGCAAACGUAAAAGCAGUACCUCACGAAAAUCUCCAGUUGUGUGGCAAGCAACGACCUCUUCCGGCGACUUCUUGUAACGAGCGUGAAAUGCUUGUUUCCACAGAAGCAACUGCUGCGAAGACCUAGUGCAAGAUAAUUCCAAGAAAGCAAGGCUCGAAGUCGAAGUGAUCUUUGUUGCUACAUUUGCAAAGUGCUACAUUCGCAAAGUGCGCAUCACGCACAGCCGGAGGAAGCAUCUCAAGGAGCCGCAGCAUCACAUCAUAAUUAAGCUAAAGGAUGCAAAGAAUUUAGAAAAUCAUGUAAUGUUAUAUCCACGGCUUUAUGAACAUAUCGUACAAUCACAUAUGGAAGAGGGACAUAUCUCCAUGAAGUGAAUUUAAAUAAUUAAAGAAGAUCAGACCUGGGAAUUCGGAACAUCUCUCUCCAAUUCCUCCAAUGCCUCCUCCAAGUUCCUGGAUAAUUGCCCCACGCCCGUCAAGACGUUGCCAAAAAUCCCGAUAGAUUGUAGACAUAUCGGGAUUUUUGACCAAUCGCACGGUUCGGUGCAGCAAAAGGCAUCAAGCGCCAUGCUUCAUCACCUUUAAAGAGAAUCAUCAAACGAGAAAAGAUUAUAUUACACAAUAAUGUUUUGACUUUAUUUUGGAGCUCAUACUGUGUCCAGGUUCAAGGUAGGAAACACUUUCUUUAAUUGUACCAGCGAAUAACAGCUACAGGAGACAUCCUCUGCACAGUUUCUUUAAGUCGAGGGAUGUCAUUGUCGACCCUAGGCCAGAGAGAUCUGCUAUCCAGGCUCGUGGGUUUGGGCAAAAUUUUUGGGGCCCGGUUAAUGGGCGGGCCGGGCCGUGGCAAGGGUCUUGAAAUCUGGCCUGCCCAUACAUUUACGUUAAAAAUAUAAGAAUUAUGUUUUAUUAAUAAUGCAAUCUUGAUAUUUAAAGUUUAUAAAUGCUAAGCCUACGGUUGGUCAUCCAGACAUCUAAAUAGAAUAGAACUUGAUAGAAUAAGAUAUGAAAUCCAAGAAUUUUGCUAUAUCCUAUUCACUAUUUAGUUAAUCGUAAUAAUAAAAUCGGACAUAUUCAUAUCAUAUCAUUUAUAUUCUUUUUAUAUAAACGACAUAUCAGCAUAAAUGAAUCCUAAAAAUGAUAAACGAACCUAAAAGUUGGAGACACUCUUUGCCUAUCAAUUUUUAUUUUAUUUUUAUUUUAUUUUCCUCUCUUUUUUUAAUUUUUUAAUUUCUUUUAUUUCUUUUUCCCCUUCCAUCAUUCUCUAAUAAAAUUUUAUUAAAUACUAAAUUGUGCUAAUAUACUUAAAAUAUGUAAUAAAUAUAAAUAUAUACUUAUACUUAUAUAUUCGAAUUUAAUUCUAUAUCAUAUAAAUUCAAUAUAUAAGUAAAAACUAAACUAAAUUAAAAAAACUAAAUUAUUUUUUUGUAAUUUUGAUUUUCUUAUUUUAGAAUUCAAAUAUUAUUUUAUAUAUAUAUAAUUUCAAUUUUGUUAAUUUAAGAAGUUUGUUAUUUGAAAAAAAAAAUAACCUUCUGAUUUUGGAUAUUAGAAAAAGCCACCAAAAAUCAUGAACUUUAUCAAUUAUGACACAUUUAUCCCAAACUUUUUUUGUAACACAAACUUGUACCUAUGUGAGAAAUUAAUCCUAAUUUUUUUCAAUGACACAAAAAAAAACCCAAAAUUAUACUUUUGUAACAUUAAAAACCCUAAAUUUUUAUUUUGUCACAUUUGCCCCCAAAAAUAUAGUGUCAUAGAAAAAAGUUUAGGGUUUUUUGUCUCACAAAAGAAAAGCUUGUGGUUUUUGACUUCACAAAACAAAAUUUUGGAUAAAUAUGUCACAUUGUAUAAAUCUGGGGUAAAUGUGUCACAUAGAUAAAAGUUUAAGAUUUUUAGUAUCACAAAAAUAAAUCAAAGUAAAUGUGUCACAAUGGGCAUAAUUUAAUAUUUUUGGCGGCUUUCAUCCUAAACCUUUUGACAAUUAUUUGAUGUAGUCUUCCAGUCAAAAUUGACUAGAAAUCGCUAACAUAGAAGCGGGUCCUUAACGUGACAAGGUUAAUGUUGGCAUAGAUGAUUUUUGCAAUUAAUUAUUAAAAAAAAAAAAAAUUGGCUUUUACCCUAAACCUUUUGACAAUUAUUUGAUGUAGUCUUCCAAUCAAUUUUGACUGGAAAUCGCUAACGUAUAAACUGGUCCUUUACGUGACAAGGUUAAUGUUGACAUAGAUGAUUUUUGCAAUUUAUUAUUAAAAAUUUGUAUUUUUUUCCUUUCAUUUUUUUUUCUUUUCUCUUCCUUAUUUUCCAUCUUUUCUUUCUCAUUCUUUCCUUUUUUACCUUGACCAAAAAAGGAAAGGAAAAAAAAAGGAAAAAUUCAGAAAAUUUUUAAAAAAAUUACAAAAAGCAUUUACGUCACUAUCGACCGCGACCGUGCCACGUAACAUAGAUAGCCUCUGCAUUUAAUUUCUAGCCAAAAUUGACUAAAGGAUUAUAUCAAAUAAUAAUUAAAAAAUUUAGUACCAAAUUAGCUAAAAUUGAAAAGUUUAAGAUCAAAUUGAUUACCGUAAAAUAGAUUCAUACUUUUCUCGAUAAAUAUUAUCGAAGCUACAAAAAGAGAUUUAAAAAAUCGAGUGUUUGUCAUAGAGAGUGAAAUUUUGUGUGUGGAAAAAUGAGGAUCAUUUUGAGCAAGAGAAUGACACUACGUUGAGCGCCGGGAUCAGUCUAAGCAAGAGAAUGACACUACAUUGAGCGCCAACGUUGAUCUCAACUAUGGAGGAGGAUGAGCAAGAGUGCAUGGACCAAAAUGACGAACCUUCGCUUCCUGCAUCCCCUCAAGGAAAGCGUCGAUCCCCUCUAUGGGACUCCUUGUCAACACAACCUGGGCACUUCAGAGUGCCAUCCAUUUGCAACAUUGAUGCCAAAGUCUCUGAUUGCCCAACCAAUUAAAUUUUUCUCUCACACUAAUCCUUUUUUCCAUGAUCAAACUCUCGAACAACUUGGGCUCCAAGUAAAUGGAGCAACUAUAUAAGAACUUGUAUGACGAACAAAUAGGCGGAACAAAUUACGUUAACGGAAACAUCUUGCUUUUCGAGUCUCUCACCAGUCUCUCUAGCUCCCUCUCUCUCUCUCUCUCUCUCUCUCUCUCUCUCUCUCUCUCUCUCUCUCUCUCUCUCUCUCUCUCUCUCUCUCAACAGAACAAUUUUUAACAUACAACGCAAAAGGCCCAGAUCAGCCAAUCCUUCGGAAUCAAACCUCCCAAAAAGAUUAAAUUUUGGCUCACCUCGCUUGCUCUGGAUAGCUGUGUCGAAGUCGCGAGCUGCAAAAGAGAGGAACAAACUGAAUUGCGUUCCUGCGGCACCGAUGGUGGUGAAAACGAGAGGCAAACUGACUAACGACUGGCGAGGGUGCGGCGGAUCUAGGGUUGCUGCGAUUGAGAGAGAGAGAGGGGCAAGGUUGCAAGAACUUGGGAAAGUUCCAUGCGCUUAGGGUUUUCUUUUUUAAACAAUGGACAAGAACCGGUUCCAAAACUAGUCUGGUUCCCAAUUCACUUAGAAUCAGGAAUCAAACCAAUUUCAACCGAUUCCCAAAAAGUGGAGCCAAUUCCCGAAUCUAUUGGAUCUAUUUUACGUGUGGGCCAGUCCGAUUUUUGGAUAAACCCUAUCUGCCAUAAGUGACGGCAUUUCUCAUUUUCUCUCUCUUGGGAAUUGUCUUGGUUGUUUGCGCUCUCCCUCGACGGUCCCUCAGUAAUGAGCGAUGUCAUGAGCGAUGUCGUAAUGAGGGACACAAUUGUCACGAGCCGAUCGAUUGGUAUCGUAACCGUGCGGUGACUCAAGCUCUUUUGAAUCGCCUAAGCCAAGCCUUACUCGAUCGAUCGCACACUCGCUCGCUUUACCCAAAUCGUAGAGAGAGAAAGCUUUUACAAAGAGAAGCUCUGGACAGAAAUGAGUUUUGAUAUUACUGAAAGGAUUGGAUGAUUACAAAUGAGGGAAAUGGCACCCCUUCUUAUACUAAAGGCCCUCAGAUUAUAUCCGUUGAUCUAGAAUUCGUCCGACGGACGAGAUUGCACCGCCAAACCUACCGACACUAAUGACAGCUACCAACUACCGACAUUAAUGGCUAGAGACUUCUAGAAUUUGGCGUAAUGACGGUGUCACCUGCCCUUCAAAAGUUCCGGAAGGAGACUUGUUGGGAAUCCAAGUAAGCGCAAGAGGUCCUCCACAGCAAGGCACGGCCCUUUAGCUCCAGAAACCUCUUAGCCAUGACAUUCUCCCCCACUCAUUCGAGCAAUGCCCUUGUCGCUCAUAGCUCGAAAGGCGGCCUUCUUGGCACGAGCACUCAUGAAUGAUGGACCAUACCCUUCUAUCUUUAGCUCGGGCUUGGGCAUAGAACACGGUGAGUACUCAACCUCGGGGAAGAGCACUUGGAUCGACAUGGCAUGAGUUGGAGUAGGAUCCAACUCUUCCUUCGACGUCUCCAUGGACAGCGGCUUGUGCAUGCACUUCUCAACCUUCAAGCUCUUGUCAAGGCGAUGGAUCGUGGCAAUGGUCUUGGUGUUGACCACUCCUUUUAUCAUAUGGAUCAUCAACGGGCAUUUUGGAUUGAGGAUCAUGAUGCACUUGGUCCUCAUGUUGAUCAUAAACCUCACGCUAUGGAAAAACUGCAUUCCUAGAAUGAGAUCAUAAUCAUCGAGAAGGAUUAUCUCGAAUGCCAGCUUGCCUUUUCAUCCGCCGAUUUGGACGUCCACGUCGAGAGUUGAUCCUACGCCUUUGAGCCCAUCCGAGUUGAUGGCCUUGAAUGAAUUCCCGAUCAACUCAACGCGAAGUCUUAAGGCUUUCGCCACCUCAGUCGACAUGAACAUGUUCGACGCACCCGUGUCAACCAAGGCGUAAAGCGUUUGGUCUCCCACUUCGACCCCCACGAAGAACAUGUCCGAGUUUGAGGUAGCUUCCUCUUCUUUGGAUGGCGAUCGAACUUGGACGGAGUUGAUAACCUUCAUGCUUCCAAGCCGGAUUUGCCACUUCUCUUCUUUAGGCUCCUCCUCCUCUUCUUCUUCGAUGGCAAGGAGAGCGUUGAUUCUUCCUUUAUUUGGGCACUUUUGGGUCCAAUGCAGACCUUUGCAAAUGAAGCAAGGAGAAGGCGGGGGUUGAUCAAACUUACUCGUCGUGUAGUCCGUUGGUCAACCCUUUUGGAAGGACGGCUUGGAAGUUCCUUCUCCCCAUGUUUUGACUCGGCCACCUUGAUCAUGCUCGCCUCGAGGAGUACUUCUUCCUUCAUCCUCAGAGGAUCGAUCCGACCUCCAAUCUCUUGCUCGAUUCUUUGGUUCAGCUUUGGUGAGAUCAAUGAGGGACUCGACCACGCUUAGCAUUCCAGUAAGAGUACUCACAUCCCAUCACUUGAACUCAAGUUGUGCCCACAACUUCAGUCCAUCCAUGAACGCUCCAAGAGCCUCCUCCUCACUUAGGUUGCGAAUUUGGAGUUUGAGCUCCGUGAACUCCUUCACGUACUCUCGGAUCACGCCUCUUUGAUCGAGGCGAUGGAACUUACUACGAGCAUCUUGUUGAGCAAACUUAGGGAAGAAGUAGUCUCAGAACUCCCUCACGAAGUCAUCCCGUGUGUCCAUGGGAUUGGUGCUACACUUAGUCUCAUCACACUUAUUGCGCCACCAAAGCAUUGCGGUAUCAGAAAGGAACAUCGAGGCAGUUCUUACCUUAAUCGACUCAUUGUGGAUGUUGACAGCACCAAAGUACUACUCCUCCAUGCUUCAAACGAAGUUGUCCACCUCCUUGGCAGAUCGGUUGCCUUUGAACUCUUUAGGCUUCGGCACGUCAAGCUUGGGCACCGCUUGUGUGGGCAUCACUCCAUUGGUGAUGCUCCAUUUGCAUAGGGCGAGCUUGGUCUUGAGCUCUUGGAUUUUCGUCUUCAUGGCUUCGACCUCAUCCCUAUGAAGGCUUUCUUCCUCGAUCACUUGGACGCACUCCUUCAACACAUCGAUUGAUGCUUCAAGGGCUUUGUCCUUGUCAUGCAAUGGGGCUAUAGCUUCGUUGAGGCCGGUCGUGAAGUCUUCACGGAGUGAGGUCUCAACCUCCAUGAUGCGGUCUCACACAUCGUCAAGACCUUCCAUGAAUUCCACCAUGACACUCCAAACCUUCGUGAGCUUCUCAUCCAACGAAACUAUGGCGUCCAUCGAGGCUUCUCUUUUCUUCAUUCGGCCACGAAUCUCCUUGACUUGAACAACCUCCCAUCCAUGACAGCUUCUUGGCUCGACAUUCUCUCAAACAGUUGGUACUCCUCGAUCUCUCGAAACGGAUCCCUCAUUCGCUCUGAUACCACUUGUCACGGGCCGAUCGAUUGGGAUCAUAACCGUGCGGCAACUUGGGCACUUUUGGAUCGCCUAAGCCAAGCCUCGCUCAAUCGAUCGCACACUCACUCGCUUUACCCAUAUCGUAGAGAGAGAAAGCUUCUAGAGAGAGGAGUUCUAGAAAGAAAUGAGUUUUGAUAUUACUAAAAGGAUAUUACUAAAAGGAUUUGAUGAUUACAAAUGAGGAGGAGGGCACCUCUUCUUAUACUAGAGGCCCUCGGAUUACAUCUGUUGACGAGAUCGCACCACCAAACCUACCGACACUAAUGACAGCUACCAACUACUAACAUUAAUGGUUAGAGACUUCUAGAAUUUGGCGUAAUGACGGUGUCACCGCCCUUCGAAAGUUCCGAAAGGAGACCUGUUGGGAAUCCAAGUGAGCGCAAGAGAUCCUCCGCAACAAGGCAUGGCCCUUUAGCUCCGAAAAUCUCUUGGCCGUGACACAAUGCCCUCAGUCCAAGAUCCUAGGCAAAUAUGUAAUGCAUUCGCAAGACUUGACUGUCCCUCAACAAUAAGCGAUGUCGUGAGCGAUGUUGUAUUAGGGGACGCAGUGCCCUCGGUCUCGAAUCCUGGGCAAAUCCGGGAUGCAUUCGCAGGACUUGACGGUCCCUCAGCAAUAAGCGAUGUUGUGAGCGAUGUCGUAUUGGGGGACGCAGUGCCCUCGAUCCUAGAUCCUAGGAAAAUCUGAAAUGCAUUCGCAGGACUCGAUGGUCCCUCAACAAUGAGCGAUAUCAUGAGCAAUGUCAUAUUAGGAGACAUAGUGCCCUCGGUCCCAAAUCCUGGGCAAAUCCAGGAUGCAUUCACAAGUGCCCUAUCAUGUUUUUUUUUUUUUUUUUUUUUUGUAAAAAGUGCCCUAUCAUGUUGUUGAUAUCAUAGAUUGUUUUUCUAAGGUUUGAAUUAAUUAUCUACUCAAAGAUCGUGUGCUGAUCGAGUUAGAGUUCUUGCACUUUUAUUUUUUGGGUGAUUGGCAGGCAAGAUCGAGCUGUUUCUAGGUUGAGGAAUGAAUCAAACUUUUCCUCUAAUGUAAUCUUCUUCUUUUUUUUCAUUUGAUGAUUUUCAUGAAUGAUCUUGAAGGAUGGGGAACAUAAGAGAGGUUGAUCUUAUCCAUAUUGGCUGUUGGCACUCCUUAGGAGAAGAAGAGUUUAAAGCAACACUAUAUGAUGAUCCAUGGAGGGGACAUCUCCAAGGCAUUGGACAGUGAAGCAACUUUCAACGUAUGAUUUUCUUUAAUUGUUUAAAUUCAUUUCAUGGAGACGCGUCCAAGAGCAAUCCCUAGUCGUUCCUUUAUUUCAGUUGAUUAUCAAUACAUGAUUAUACCUUUGUUCAUGAAAUUUAACAUGACGUGUGAUCUUCAAAAUUCUUUCCCUCUCUAUGAUUUCCAUCAAAUUUUUGUGGUCUUGUGUUUGCUUGAGGCUUCUGAACGCGAUGCGCUCUUGGCACAUAGAGCAAUCCUAAAGGGGGAUAAUGAUGUUCUCAUAGAGCUAGUUUGCACAAGGUCUCCCCGGCAGUUGUGUUUGGCAAAAGAUGCAUAUCAGGCUCUAUACAAGAAGUCAGUCAAAGAGGACAUUGCUCAAGCCAGGGCUAGGAUAUGUCAUGAGGUACUGCUCUUAUGCUUUCCUAAAGUUGUGCCAUGAAGUUUCCUAAUCUUGAUGAUUGUUAUUCGGAUGAACUCUCUUCCACACAUUUUGUAGUAAGUAUUUUGUACUAUGAAGUCUCUGUAACUGCGCGACGCUCUGAGUAAUAGAUUAAUCACUCUUUUGUGAAAGUAUUCUUUGAGAUUCAUGAAGGCAAGUAAGAACAAAGUGUGUCUGAGAUUCAACAUAUUACAGAGAGUUGGAGAAUACAAGUUGCAGUGUUUUAAAUCUUUAAGAUGGUUUUGGAGUUUUUAUGCUUGUCUGGACAGUGUUAUUAUUGAGAGCAAAACCUGAUAUUUUGGCUUGUUAUUUGCUUGGUUAUGGUUUCAUGAAACUGUGGAAACUAUGUGCCACUUCAAUGGACCCCUUUAUCCUAUCUAAAAUGAAGAACCAGGUCCAUCAUAAAAAAUAAAAAUUAAAAAUUAUAACCCGUAAAAUAAUUAUUGUCUAUCCUAAAUCAUUUCAUUUUCACCAGGUGUUAAAAUGUAAGUUGAUUUACUUGUCUGUUCGGGAUAAACUACAUUUUGAUAUGGUUUUUUUGCCUCCUAGCUGUUGUUACCUCUCACCAGCCCAUAUCAUUAUUCUGGGCUGAAAGUGGACGAACAUGAGGCACAAAAAGAUGCUCCGAUGCUCCAUGAGAAGACCUCGGAGAAGGAUUAUAGCAACAGGGAUGUGAGAUGGUUUUUGGCCACUAGGAGCAAAGCACGGCUCAAGGCUACACUUGAUCAUUACAGAUGUGCUUAUGGAAAUGAUAUCUACAAGGUGAAUGGGAAUGACUAUCAAUCGGCCCUUUCAUAUUGCUUUUACAUAUAGAGCUAAAGUUUACAGUUCCUCGAGGAUGAAAAGUGCCUGUGGUUAUUGUUCAUUUUAUGAGCUUUUGCUCAGCAGUGACGAUGAUGCUUAAAAGUAAAAAGCAACCUAAUGACAUCUUGUUUCUAAAAUAUUGAGACCUAAUAAUAUCAUCUAUUUUCAAGAUAUUAAGUACCCUACAUUGUGCUAUGUUCUGGCAUGGGUCGCUUCUAGACUAUAAUCUGGUAUUAUGCAUCAAAGCAUAUCGAGCUUCUCUUUGUUCUAGACUAAGAAUUAUCUAAUUCUUGAUCCUUCGUGUUUGCAGGAUCUGGAAGCUGAUCCAACUAAUCAGUUCCUUCAUAUACAGAGAAAUACAAUCGAGUGCCUGACUUGCCCCGAGAAGUAUUUUAGGAAGGUUCUUCAUGUGGCCAUCAUGUAAGAGUUUUCCUAAUGUAUACUAUAUUAAUUGAUAUUGUAAUUUACUAUUUUAUGGGUACUAUAAAAUGGGGUUUGGUCUAAUGUGAGAUAAAAGGUUUCUUAAUUAAUCUAAUAUAGGACUGGCUAGCGUGGGCCAAGUUGAGCCUAACCCGUAAUAAGGGGGCUUGGUGCUUAAGUCUCUUCUCUAACCUUAAUUCUCACAUGUAUCCUCACAUAAGGAGCGUUAACCCAGCGCUAAAGAGUGAGGGGGCCGUCUCAUUGAGCCAUUGAUACGGAAGGCAAUAAAUGAGAAGGAUUUGCACGUGAAACAUCAGUUUUCCGCUUCCGCUUCAAGAACGAUGGACCUCAAAACAAGUGCGUUAAUCUUUCUACUCAAUUAUGCAUGUUCUUAUUCUGGUUAUUGAGAUCUUGGGAUUACGCAAUUUGCAUCCAACACGUCAUACUAGAGCAACCAUAACCCUAAAACUCGAACGCAUAGAAUUUUUGUCCUAAUUUUGAGAUUUUCGUGAUUUUUUGUUCAAUAAAAAUCAAAUUAAAUCACAAAUUCGAAUUGGGCUCGAUGAGACAAGCAGAUCCGUGGGCGGCACGUCGCUGGAGAGGGCCGCACGCGCCCCCACAAGCCCCACGUGCAGGGCGCAGCUUGCACGUGCGACGCACGUGCGGUGCUGACGUCAUGAUGAUGUCGGUGACAAGGCCAAACUCAAUUGGCAACCAACCCAACCCGUUGACCCAACCAAACCCGACCCGAUCAACCAAUCAAACCGAACGGCUGGACCGGGCGGUCGAGCUAGGAGCCAGUCAAACCGGUUUUGACCGAUCAAGAUACGCCCGCACGUGAUCUCCAUGCGCAUGCGCCACUGCGGGCAUGUGAAGCCUUUGAUCGGCACGUGGCUGGUGGUGUUAGAUUCGUAUGACUGUCAUCUAUGUUGUGGUGUAUUUCUUUUAUAUAUUUGAUGAUUUUAUGGAUGUGAAAAUACAUAUGAAACCUUAAAUACGUUUAUUUUUUAUAUAUUUUCGCGUAUUUUUCUUGUAUUUUUUAUGAUUUUGGAAAUACAGAUAUUGGGUUACAGGUAUGUUAUCACAUAAAUAUUAUAAAGGUGUUAUUCAUUGAUAAUAUAUAUAAAUUUUAAUUUUUAUUAAUGAAUAACGAUAUUAUCAAUGAAUAAAGUAAUGUAAUUAGCAUGAUAUGUGAUUUUGGUGAUUUGUUGCCCCUAUCACUGAAGUUAAAAUCACAUGUAUAUGGUGUAUGUGAGAAGUAAAGUUUAUAUCCCUGGUAUGAGAGAAUUUCAAGGAUUCAAUUGAGUAGUGACCACCAAAGUGGCACGCUUGAUUAGAUUUGAGAAAUAUCGAUCUCGUAUAAUGUUUGAGAUGUCUUAUAAUUUAGUGCGUAGUCAUAAUCCUAAAGGAGGUGAUUGUGUAUUAGUUCAUGGAGGGAUACAUGAUGGUGUGGUGGAGGAGUGACUGAUCACAGUGGUUCAUAUGCCCAAAGGUGAUGAAUUCACGAAAAUUAGAAUAUAUUCUCAUAAUCACUAUCAUGUGGGGAGUGUACAACCGUAUGUCAUGUAUUCUGCUGAAAUGUGAUUAUAUGAUUUUGCAUGUAACUCUCUGGAUGUCUACUUGUACGUCAAGUUACAUAGUGCUUACAUGAUGUUAAUUAUAUUCAUUGCUUGUUUUUCAGUCACAUUUUCUGUAAUUAAUAACUCCACUAUUAUUAAGGUUUUUAUUGAUUCGAAUUUUAAGUAAUAGACAUAUGAUUUGUUGCUUGUGAAAAGAAAUUUUACUGUCCACAAAAACACUUGAAAAAUGGUUUUUCAACUUACUACACUACAAAAAAAUGCUAUAGAAGACGAUAAAGUUUUCACUCUAAAAAAUGGGUGGACAGUUAAUAGAUAUUAAGAAAUAAAUAUUUCUUUAUAGUAUUUUUAAAAAUUAUUUCAGAGUGAACAUGGCAACUGGAGGAAAUUUAUUUUUCUCUAUAUACUACGAGGUCAGUGAAAGGAAAAUUAUUUUUCUUAUACCCUAUGUAUUCUUUUACCAUGCAAACGGAGUUUGUAGCAUGUUUUUCAGUUGCUACUCAAGUUAUUUGGCUCUGGAUGCUCAUUAAGGAGUUGGUUGUUUUUUAACUUUAUGGAUUGAUCCAUACGGUUGUAUUGAAACAAUAAAUUUGUAGUAUUUUUAUUAAUAACAAAGAUCUGAAAUGGUCUAAAUAUAUGACAAUCAAAUUUUUUACCAUAAAAAAACGGUACAGAAAGGUAACGUUAUAAUAUAAUAUAUUAAUGUAGAUGAUAUGGUUGCAAAUCCACUAACUAAAGGUCUAUGCCCAUAUGUAUUUGAGCAACAUGUCAUUAGCAUGAGGGCCUAAGAGUAUCUUGAGAUACUGUUGUUUAGUAUGAGCUAUUUUGGCUUUACACUAAUAAAGUUUACAUUUGUGUUCAUUACAUUUUGUAACGGUUUGAUAUGUAUCAACUUUUGCAUUCAAAAAGUAUUUUUGAAUGUAUUAUUAUUAUGUUGAAUACAUAUUGAUAAAAGUCUCAGGAUAUUAUAUAAACCUUGAGUGAAAGCUAGGAACAUUCAGUUAUUAACCUUGUGCAUAUGUCUUGUUAUAUAUAAAGAAAGGUUAACCAUAAGGACAAGACAUAUGUGAGUUCAUUAUAAUCAUAAAAACAUUCUCUAGUGGCAUAUGAUUUUUGUGACGCUUAGUAAGAGAAUUGUGACUGACAAAUGGGAUCUCUCUAUGAGAGAUGUUAUCCAUUUGUCACACUAUCAUAUUGAAUCCAUAUCAAUAAAGUUGAAAGCACUUGUGACUAUGGAAGGCUCUGUGUAUAUACAUACAAUUACUACCAUAAUUCGAUGUAUGAGACUUUAUGGGAUAGGAAUGACUAUUACGAAUUAUCUCUGGAUCAAUGUACGCACAUACAAUACAAUUUCAAUUAAUAUAAUUUAAGUGGGAAAAUGUAAGAGUUUUCCUAAUAUGGACUACAUUAAUUGAUAUUGUAAUUUAUUAUUUUACGGUUAUGGUAAAACGGGACUUGGUCUAAGGUGAGAUAUAAGAUUUCUUAAUUUGUCUAAUACAGGGCUGGCUAGUGUGGGCCGAGUUGAGUCUAGUCCAUAAUGAGUGUGUGUUAAUCUUUCUACUCAAUUAUGCAUGUUCUUGUUCUAGUUAUGGAGAUCUGGGGAUUGCGCAAUUUGCAUCCAAUACAUCAAUGCACAAAUAAGAGAUGGAGGGACUAUAGCCAAAGUGCUUUCUACUAAGGCCGAUGUCAAUAUGAACCUUAUACUAGAGGAGUACUAUAGAAAGAACGGGCCCGACCUCCUUCCUCAGCUUCAAAAGCUUGUGGCCCUGGUGCAUGAUUUUUAAUUGCUCUUGAAGCCACUAUGUCUGACAAUUUAUGUAGUGCUGUGUGUUUAGAAGUAUGUCUGUUUUCCUUGCUUUCUUAAUGUAUCGAACAUUGUUGUCGAAAAGUUACUGCACCUGUCAGAAACAAGAGCAAUCCUAGUACGUGAAGCGAGGCAUUACCAUAGAUAGAAUCCUUGAAAUAUUUUUGUUCUAGGCCAGUCAAAGUUCCUAAUCUAGUUGUCCUCCAAUCUUCAAAUUGUUAGGGAAAUCCCUUAUGAUAUUUUGAAGAUGACAAAAUAAAUCAAAGACUACUAAUAUGUUUGAUGGUUAAGUAAUAGAUUAUGCAGAUAAUAGAACAUAUAAAGGAUAUUAUCAAAGACUAUACUUGGAAGAACCAAAAGACUGAAUGUAACUCAUGUCCAAAGUAUAUUCUGAAGAUUUCUAGACUUCUGUAUCAAGGUCUGAAGACUGCCAGAAUUUAGUGUCAAAGUCUGUUCUACAUCAGAAGUCUGCUCACUCUGACAAAUUCCAGACUGAACGUGAAUGAAGAACCAGAAGACAGACUCUAUGCUGAAACUGAACCAGAAGACAGACUCUAUACUGAAGCUGAACUUAUUCAGACGGUGUUCAUACCUUAAAGCUAAAUCUAUUCAGAAGCAGAAUAUGUUCAGACCCAGAUUGUAAAGUCUAUUGCACUCAAACUCAGAUUGUAAAGUGUAUUAUUCUCAGACUUUACAUCCAGAUUCGACGGAACGUAACUCAAGCCCCAAUCAUAUAACGGCUAGUGAUCUAGUUUGAAUUCUACAUCAAGAUUGAUUUGAUUGACUCAAUUUAAUUGAUUGACGAUUGGAUCUUGAAGAUAAGAACUUUCUAUACGAAGAAGCUCUACUUAUGGAAACCAAGAUUCUGUUUAUAUGGGCGAUCGGAAUCAAUUUGGGAUUCUACUUUUGUCACUCAACGGCUACCAAAUCUUCUAGACACAGAGCUGUCCAAUGGGUAGAUUGGAAGACGAUCCUCGAGAUACAGUCCAACAGCUAGUUUGGAAGUGGAGGAGUAUUUAAGGAGUUGAAGGACCGAUGAGCAAGUAAGAGACGGAACGUAGAAUUUAUAAUUCCAAAGUCCGAGCGAUCUUUGUUCAUACACUUGUCUUUGAAGAGCUUAAACGUUUGUGAUCGUGAGAAAAAUACCAAAAGAGUGACUUAGUGAAAUAGUAUGAUCUACUAAGUGUUUGCACUCAAAAUUGUAAUCUCUUGUUGAUUGCAUAGUGGAAUCCAGCCAAGAAGGCUGUUAGCGUGGGAGAGUAGACGUAGGCUUGGAUUAAGCUGAACCACUAUAAACCUUGUGUUCUUAUUCUCUUCCUUAACUCCUUUCUUUUACUCGAAAAUUAUUUUAUUCUACAUAUAUUUGCCAAGGUUUAGUUUAAACACCUAUUCACCCCCUCUAGGUGUUCAUACUAGCACUCUCACAAAUCAAAUCACACCCGUCAAUAUGACAAUGCGCCUUCUCAAAGUGGAGAGGAUCUUGUUGUAGCAAAUUGUUGGACCAAGAGGGAAAGACAGAGUCCCUGUGACUUGCAACGCUAAGCCCUAGAGCGAUACUGUCAAGCCCUUGAGCGAUACCGUCAGCAAGACAUGUUGAUCUUCAGAGAAUGCCAUAUUGCCAAAGCCCUUAAGCAUUACUGUCAGCAAGGCUCAUUGAUCUUCAGAGAUGUCAUCAUGUUUUCCUUGCUUUCUUAGAAAACCAUUGAUCUAUUUGACACUUCUACUAGAAAAGAACCAAAGAAUGCAAUUUGAAGCGCAAAUCAGUUGAGUUCUCUGAAUCUGAAGAAACUAAUGCUAUCGACAUACCGGUCUGCAAAAAGUUUGUAAAUCUAGUCAAUAAGUUCAAAACUAAAACACAAUUUCCAAACCCCACACAAUGGAACUGUAAAAUGAAACCAAAUCCCACUAGGAAUGACACAAGUUGAAAAAUAAAACUGUUGGGCCUAAGCUUGGUUAAACCAACGCGAUGCUGCUUUCGCCACCCUGAGGCUUGCCAAUGGCACCAAAGUAGUCUCUAGACUUUGCCUAUCCAUCAGCAAAGAUGUCAUCGCCAUUAAUUUCUCUCAAUUUAGCCAAACUCAAUGAUUUCUCCACAAACGUUGGAGGCACAUCACCCUUGAAGACGUUGUUUUCGGUACACCCGUUAAACGGGUGGGUCGGGUCGGGUUUGGGUUGGGUCAUAAAUGGUCUAACCCAAAUUGACACAUUUAUUGCAAUGCAAAAUUUUUUAUCCAUACCCGACCCAACCCGUACUCGACAUAUACUCGACCCAUUUAACGAAACCUAGAAAAGCUUAUAUAUAUUUUUAAAAUGGUAUUGUUAAAAUGGUUUUAUACAACACAAAUUAAUGGACAAUUUUAAAAAGAAAAAAACUAAAAAUAUAUACUUUAAAAAAAUCGAAUUUUAAUUAUUUUUAAAAUUUUAAUUUUUAAUUAUUUUUAUUUUUAUUUUUAAGAAUAUAAUUUUUCUUUUUUUCUUUUUCUCUGUUCUUUUUUCUUUUUUUUUCUUCUUCUUCUUUGGCCAGCCACCAACCAUGAUAACAACCGGCAACCAGCCACACCGACGUUGGCGAGCUCAAGGCUCGGUAGAUCGGCGAGGCUCGAGCCUCACCGAAUGUCGAUGAGGCCUCCGCCUCACCAGAUCUAGCGAGCUCGAGCUCGCCCCUCGCCGGAUCUGGCAAGGCUCGAGCCUCACCAAACGUUAGUGAGGCCUCCACCUCGCCAGAUUGGCGAGGCUCAAGCCUCGAGCCUUGCCCGACGCCAGCAAGUUCGAGUCUCGCCAGAUCGGCGAGUCAUCUACCUUGCCAAACGCCGGUGAGCUCGAGGCUCGCUAGAUCAGCGAGGCUCAAGCCUCGCCCUACGCCAGCGAGACUCGAGUCUCGCCGAACGUCAAACAAGGCCUCCGCCUCGCCGACGCCAGCAAACUCGAGGCUCACCUAGCCGAUCACUAGCCAUCACCAACUAGCCACCAGAAGAAGGAAGAAGAAAAAAGAAAAAGGAAAGAAAAAAGAAAAGAAAAUUAAAAUAAAAAAAUAAUUAUAAUUUCAAUUUUUAUAAAAAAAAAAUUGUGAAGUUAAAAAGGGAAGAGGGAGAUUGUGUGAUUUUGGUUGAAAAUGGGUUCUAAAUCCAACCCAUUUAAGACCAUUUAAGACCCACCUAUCUUAAACCUUUCAUUACUAAAUACAUUUAAUUAGCUUCUUCAAAAAGCAAGUGACCCAUAUAUGAUUUAAAUGGGUCAUAUAUGGGUCUAAGGCCCAUUUUGCCACCUCUAGUUUCCAGAGAGCUCAAAGAAUUUCUGUCAUAGAUUUGCUUGGUAGUUCUCAUCAUAGGUUCCGUAUUGGAGAUGAUACUGCUCUAACCUCCAGCAGGCUGAUAAAGUCAGAGAAACUAUUAGUGAGGCUAUUGAACUCCACUGCUAAAAAAAACAGGAGAAGAAACUUUAACAGAAGAGCAUGUUAACGUAAAUACAGAUUUGACUCGCAUUAGAGACUUUAAUAAAAGUCCGAACAAUAAAGAGAGGAUAAUAAUAUUUGAUUGGAGUAAUAGAUCGAAUGUUGUUAAAGGUGUGACUUACGCUUUGUCCUACAUGCACCGUGAAUGCUCUCCUCCUAUAUAAUUCAUCAAGACAAAUCAAGUAAAAACAUUUUACUAGAUGAAUAAUACCAAAUUCACUCUCUAAUUUUGGCACGGCUAAGGUUCUAGAACCUUAUUCAUCCAAUUAGACUUCCUUUGCAAACACCUUUGGAUAUGCAACUCUAGGUAAAGUUGGCUUCUUCAAAAUUUCACCCUCCAUUUUUAUAGAUAGGAAAAUGAUCAUACAAGACCCUCAUCCUUAACUUCCUUCCUUUAAACUUCUAAAUACUUAACACCAAGUCCAAAGCUAUUCAUGCUAUUGGAAGGUCCAAUUAAAGAUUAAUUGAGAUGUAGGUCACCAAAGUGAAACUUUUUCCUAAAGAAAUGGAAAAUUUCAAAUGCCAUUGGAAACUAAAGAAUGUAUUGAUUUAUACUUGAUUCUCUAGAUAUUAUUCACUUAAAAUCAAUUUAAAUUUACAAAGCAUAGAUAUUGUAUAAAAGCUAGAAAAAAUUGUUUUUUUCUCUUUGUAGAACUCGUAUGCACAGUGAAAGUCAACAAGAAAUGUAAUAUUUAUGGUUUCGGAGUGGUCACAUUGGAAAUAACAUGGGAAAACAUUCGAGCAAUCUCAUUGCUUCUCUCACCUCCUCAUCUUUAUCAUCAUCGAGCAAUUCAACACUUCUUGGCCACUGAAAAAAGUUCUAGAUCAAAGAAUUCCAUACUGGAAGGUAAUGUGCUAGGGGAAGUCACUUUGGUGACAUAGAUGACAUUUUCGCACUUAAAUCCCAAACCAAAGCAUUGUCCAACCGUGCAAAAAGUUUCUCGGGCAAUAUUAGCGCAAAGCUCGAUCAUUUUAAGCGCAUUGGAGGACAUCAAAUUGGAAGAACUAGUUGAUCUUAUACGCUUCACUUAUUGAGAUAUUUCAGUCUUUCUGCUGCAACCUAUGUAGCAAACCGUCUCCUAUACUUUGUUUAUAAUAGUUGAUUCCAUUAUCCAUUUCGGUAAUAAUUCACUAGUUACUUGAAAGCACUUGGGAAUUACUGUCAUUUGCAAUUCCAACAAAGAAGAGAGAGCCUACAGCUGCGAUGUCUAAUCCUCAAGAAUGGAUUUAAAGAAACAAGAUCAUGAUAUUUCUUGCAGCUAUUACAUUUACUUGUUACAAUUUGGCUUCUCAUCUAGAAUGGUAAACAUUGACGAUAGAAAAUGUGACAAGCACAAACGAGCACAAUUGGUGUAAGCUAGCAUCUAUUUUUUUGAAGUUUGGUCCAAUUAUUUUAGUUGAAUACAUGCCGACAUCACAAUUUAAAAAAAAAUGAAGUACAAAUCAGAGUAUAAUUUGUUUACAUCAAAUUAUAUGAGUAACUUUAUAUCCUUUGAAACGAAAGCCAACUUUAGUAAGUAUUAUUUUUCAUAGAUUAGUGUCUCAGACUUAAAACUCAUCGCGAAAUUGCAAUUGAGUCUUAAAAUGUUAAUCAAGUCAUAGAAAUCGUCAAGCUGUGUCCUUCAUUAGUUCCGUCCAUUUUGUCUAAGGGGAAAUGUUGACGGGUGAUUUUUUAUGAUCUUUUAAUGUGCGUGGUGCGAAUGGGGCACCAACUAAGUGCCAUGUCAAAAAAAAUUGCAAAAUUAAAAGAAUUACGGAAAAAGGAUAAAAAUAAAAAUAAAAAAUAUCACUAAAGCCAAAGGUUUUUAAUUUAAAAAAGAAGAAGGUGCUAAACCAAGGGAUUGGGUUGUGGGGAAGGCUGCUGCCCUGGAACGAACUUUGCCGAAGAACUUGGGGGUAUCAUCUUUUCCAAAUGAACGUAUGUGUGGGCGGGCCAGAUUUCGAAACCCUCGUCCUGACCCGGCCGGCCCAUUAACCGGACCUGCAAAUUUUGUCCAAAUCCGGCCCAACGCGUUCCUCGGGUUUCCACUUCGAGAAGGUGGACGCAUCGACCGCAACGACACGUGGCGCUCGUACAGCGCCUCCGGGCUUAUUGCUUUCCACGUUACGUGGCGCGCGCUCUCUCUCUCUCUCUCUCUCUCUCUGUUUUGUCUCCUCCUUCCUCUAUCUCGUUCUCGCUUCGUCGGGAACACCUCCCCACGAUCUUCCAUUCCCUCAGCAAUGUCGAGUCUCACCGUCCCGGAGCUGGUGCCCCCGUGGCCGAUGACUGCGAGCAGCUCCAGAAAGCCUUCGCGGGUUCGCUAUCUCCUCACCGCCUUUCUUUCUCUCUUCUUCGUGCUGCCUCCUCCGAUUCUCGUCGCGAGUCGUUUCGUCGUCGACGAUCGUGUUCCGUCGUUAGUGUUUGGAUCUAUGAUCUGCUUAGAGAUCGUGGUCUGGUCGGAGUGAUCUUUCGGUGGCGACCCGUUCGAGAGUUCAUGUGCUUUUUUUCUUUUUUUGGGUGAUCGGCUGUUAAGAUCGAGCUAUUUCUGGCUUUACUAUUUCCUUUUGAAUUCCAAAUUCCAAAAAAGCGUCGAACUUUAAUUUAAUCUUUAUUCGUUUGGUGAUUAUCUUGAACGAUCUUGAAGGAUGGGGAAGGAAGCUGAUUAGGCAAACCUAUGCCGAGACUUAUGGCAAGGACCUGCUCAAUGCAUUGGACAGAAAACUUACGGAUGAUUUCGAGGUCUGCAUCUUUCUUUAAUUAUUUGAAUUCAUCCCAUGGAGAGAUGCCCUCUUUCUCUCGGAUUAAUCCAUAUUCAUGCCUAUAUUCUCGUUGAUUAUCGAACGUGAUUGUAUGUUCUGUUCAUAAAGCCGUGGAUAUAACAUGACAUGAUUUUUUAAAUUCUUUGCAUCCCUGUAAUUUGCAUAUCAGCAGAGGCUGGUGGUCCUUUGGACACUUGAUCCGGCUGAAAGUGAUGCGUACUUGGCCAAUGAAGCGACGAAAAGAUGGACUUCAAGCAAUCAGGUUCUCGUGGAAAUAACCAGUUGCUUAUGGCAAGACAAGCAUAUCAUGCUCAAUACAAGAAGUCGCUGGAAGAGAUGUUGCUCACCACCCAACUGGAGAUUUUCAUUAGGUACUGCUUUUACGCUUGCCUGAACUUGUUCCAUGAAGUUUCCCAAUGCUGAUGAUUGUUCUUCUCAGCAACUUAUGUUCAUACAUUAUGCAAUAAGUACUCUGUACAAUGAAGUCUAAGUAGCUGUGUAAUACUCAGAAUAAUUUCAAAUUGCUGUCCUGGGAAAUAUCGUUUGAGAUUGAUGAAGGCAAGUAAAAUAAAAUUUGUCUGACUCAGCAUAUUACCAGGAGCCUGAGAAUAUAAGUUGCAGGGUGUUCAAUCUUUAAGACAGUUUUGAAGUUUUGCAGAGAAUACUUGUUGGGAUGGCGGUGUGGUUGAGAGCAGUUCCUGAUAUUAUGGUUUGUCAUUUCAUUGAAGAUGGUUUCAUGAAACUCUAGAGACCUAGUUCAUUGGAACCCUUUCUCAGAUCUCAAAUGAAGAACCAGGUCCAUCAUCAAAAGUUUAGCCUUAUGACAACCUGUCAAAUAAUUAUUAUCUAUCCUGAAUCAUUUUAUUUUUCAUUAGGUGUUGAAUGCUUGUCGGGAAAAUACUGUAUUUUGAUACAGUUUCUUUGUUUUCUAGUUGCUGUUACCUCUCAUGAUCUCAUACCCUUAUGAUGGAGACAAGGUGGACAUGAAUUUGGCAAAAGCAGAGGCUAAGAUACUCCACUAGAAGAUCUCAGAGAAGGCUUCAAGCCACAAGGAUCUCAUAAGGAUUUUGGCUACUAGGAGCAAUGCGCAAGUCAAUGCUAUGCUGAUCAAUACAAAAAUGAGUUCGGAAAUGAUAUCAACAAGGUGAGCUGGAAUUUCUAUGAACCGGCCCUUUCAUGUUGCUUUUACUUGCAUGUCUAAAGUUUAUAGUUCCUCAAGGAUGAAGAGUGCCUGUGGGCACUUAUUCUUUUUGGUUAGCAUCCAUGUUGUUAAGAGGCAACUUCAAGAUGUCUUGUUUCUAAAACAUUGAGAUGUAAUAAUAUCGCCUGUUUCCAAGUUGUUCAUUCACUUCCGGACUAUAACCUUUCUACUAUGCAUCAGAACAUAUUGACUUUUCUCUGUUCCAGAUUAAAAAUUGUUUAAUUCUCGAUCCUUCAUGUUCGCAGGAUUUGAAAACUGAUUUGAAAGACAAGUUCCUUGCUACUCUGAGAGCUACAGUAUAGUGACUGACUCGCCCUGAGAAGUAUUUUGAGAAGCUUCUUCGUCGAGCCAUCAAGGAACAGAUUAAGUGGCUCUGACCAGAGUGUUUGCUACCAGGGCUGAGGUUGACAUGAAGAUUAUAAGUGAGGAGUACCAUAGGAGGAACAGAGUUCCCCUCGAUCAUGCCAUUGCCAAGGACAAUACUGGAGACCACGAAAAAAAUGCUUUUGGCAUUGAUUGGCCACGUUGAGGCUUGAUUUACAAGUACUCAUGAAGCUAUGUCCAGUGGAGGCAAUAUGUCUAUUUUGGCGUGGUUUGAGGUGUUUCUGUUUUCCUUGCUUUCCAGUAACGUACAGUUACCAAUAUGCCUCCCCAGAAAGUCGUCAGUUAUAGCUAUGAAAUACAUUUCUCAUCAUGACAUUGGUUUAUGUACUUCUGAGAAGUCUUUGAUUUUGAUCUUUAAUCAAGACUGCUAGUAAGUGACCGUCAACUCGGUUUCCUUGCAAUCGUGUUAUAGCAGUGCUGGCAAUUCAAUGAACAAUGCCACAGAAACUGCUGAUUCUAUGGCCUUUUAGUUAAUGAGGAACAAAUAUUAUAAGGAUCAGAGGUUAGUCUUUAUUUCAUUAAGUAGCUUGAGAUACGACUGGUUUAUGUUGUUUUGCCAGAGGAUAUCCAUUGGGGUGGCAGAAUCUCAACCAUGAAGCUCGAUGCUUGGGGUCAUUUCAGCUUCAUGUGGAAACUACAGAUUGCACUGCUUUCUCAGCUUUUAUAACACCUCAUUUAGGUAUAAAUGCUAUCCGAACCCACUAGGAGCCUUGGAGGUUGCUUUUGCAGCAUCAUGGUAAUCUCCUCAGUUGCUCGCCACCGCAUCCCCACUUCCCACAAGAAAUUCAGCUGCUAAUUCCAAAUUGAUCCGAGGCAAAUCUUAAUUAGUAUACCAUGAUGUGAUGGCGAUGGAACAUUUCACAGCACACCAUAGGAAGCCUUAUCAAUUAAUCCAUUGCGGGUUUAGAUCAGAUUAAAAUCCCAAGAGGGAAGUGCCAACAAGCACACGGCCUGUAGGGGAUGCGGCCUGUUGGAGAUGGGUUUCCAGGGGGUGAUUUCCAAGUUCAAAACUUGGAGUAGGCCCAAAAAAGAAAAAAGUAGGGAAGCAAACUGACGACCGAAAGAGCACCAACUUGAUGGAUGGACAAGCAAAAGUUUUCCCACCUGUCAAGAGCAGCAAGAGCAAUGCUGGUACAUGAAGUGAGGCAUGAUUGUCCUCCAAUCUCCAAACCAAGUCGGGCUUGUCAGCAGAGCAUGCGCCUUCCCUAGAACCUGUCAGCAAUACCGUCGGCAAGACACUCCCAGCAUUAAGGGACUUUUCUUCACAUGGAGUUUGGAUCGGCAUGGUUUUCUUAUUUAGUAUAAGUAACAUAUGCAAAACUUAUUGCCAAAAUCCUUGUGAGUUGCUAUCCAUUACAGGUCAACUUGAUGCGAUUGGAAAGGUACACGGUGGUGACAUAUCCUUAAUAUGACGAGCAUAUUUCGAAGCUACAUCUUGAGCAUGGAUGGGAUAGAAAGUUCUUUUAGAAAACCAUUGAUCUAUUAGACACUUCCACUGGAAAAGAACCAGAGAAAUCAAUUUGAAGCACAAAUCAGUUUGAAAUCUCCUCUGAAUCUGAAGAAACCAAUGCUAUAAACACACCGGUCCGCAAACAGUUCGUACAUCUAGUCAAUAAGUUCAGAGCUGAAACACAAUUCCCAAACCCCCACACUCCGGAAGUGUCAAAUGAGACCAAAUCCCACUAGGAAUAACACAAUUUGAAACAUAAAACUGUUAGGCCUAAGCUUGGUUAAACCAACGCAAUGCUGCUCUCGCCACCUGGAGGCUUGCGAACGCCACCGAAGUAGUCUCUAGACUCUGCCUUUCCAUCGGCAAAGAUGUCGUUGCCACUAAUCUCUCUCAUUUUAGCUGAGCUCAGUGAUUUCUCCGCAGACGUAGGAGGCGCAUCACCCUUGAAGACGUUGUUUCCAGAUAGCUCGGAGAAUUUCUUGUCAUAGAUUUUCUUGGCAGUUUUCAUCACAGGAUCCUCAUUGGAGGUAAUACUGCUCUGACCUCCAGCAGGCUGAUGAAAUCGGAGAAUCUAUCAGUGAGGCUAUUGAACUCCAUUUCUAAAAUAAACAGAAGACCUGAAGAAACUUUAACAGAAGAGCAUGUUACCGUAAAUAUAUAUUUCACUCACAUUAGAGACUUUAACAGAAGUCCGGACAUGACGCGGUGCAGGUUCUCCCAUGUCUUGAUUCGUGUCCAAUGCCCGUGCAGCCAGUGGCCUUGGCAAAAUUUCUGGAGGAGGAGCAAAAAUAUCAUGUCCACUCAAUUCCUUGCACUUGGCAUCAGAUAUUUGCUUUUUCAACUUCAUGUCGGACUCGCUUUCCAACGUUCCACUCAGUUCUCGCUGCUUUGCAACCUCAGGAAGAGUGGUAGGCUUCUUGGGAGAAACGCUUUCUUCUUCAGCAAACGAGAUGUGACUGAUGCCAGCAAGGGCUUGCUAGUAAUAUCAACCACCAAAAGAGCUUACAUCAUGAUGGACUCAACACCAAUUUAAUAGGUCAAAAGCAAUCAGCAUAGUAAAACAUACCUGGUACAUCCUUAUUCCAGUUUUGUUAUUUGAAGCAGGGUUAGCACUUCCAGGUUGUAGUGAAUCAUCCUCCCCAUUGGCAGCAAAAAUCCCACUACCAGUAAUUUCUUUCAUCUUGUAGCCAGAACAAGGUUUCCUGGAAGAUUACAAAAGCACUAUUCUAUGGAGGAGAAGAUGAGGAAAAAGCCACAAUAAGCAGUACCAAAGCGCAAAGGCAUUAUGAAAGCUUAUGAAACUCUCUUGAUAAGGAGGAUAUCAAAGGUCACAUGUGUAUGAGUGUGUGCCUGCGAGCAAAUACGCAAGCUCGUGUGUGUUUGCGUGGGUGCAUGUGCAUUUGUGUCAAAUAUCCAUCCUCAUUCAGUUUGUCUACAAAAAUAGAUAGAUAGAUAGCCAAGUAACUGGCUUUUUAGACGGACAUGUUUGUGGGUGCAUGCAUUUGAAAUUGUAUAUAUAAUGACUUUUCUGUAUGUACAUGUUAUACAUGGAUUUCAGCUUUUCCUAAUUUAACAACAUAUAGUUGUUUCUAUCACAGCACUUCGGAAGGGUGUCGACAAUGCAUCAUGUGUGACUUACCAAUCCUGAGCAAAAUGCCCUCUCCUUUCCAUGCAUUGACUAAGAACAAUCUAGUUUUAGAUGGACUAGAG